Molecule: small RNA, 76 nt
Filed under: Xanthomonas citri
Lineage: Bacteria; Pseudomonadati; Pseudomonadota; Gammaproteobacteria; Lysobacterales; Lysobacteraceae
Also listed under: 3 other names
Description: sX9 sRNA
Rfam family: Xanthomonas sRNA sX9
Source: RNAcentral
AUUCCCACUCGUGCACUGCGGUUCUAAGCGCGCCAUCUACACCCACCUGACGACUGCUCGCUGCGUUUAGUUCGCC